UACGGAAGGCAGCAGUGGGGAAUAUUGCACAAUGGGCGCAAGCCUGAUGCAGCCAUGCCGCGUGUAUGAAAAAGGCCUUCGGGUUGUAAAGUACUUUCAGUCGUGAGGAAGGUGUUAAGGUUAAUAACCUUAGCAAUUGACGUUAGCGACAGAAGAAGCACCGGCUAACUCCGUGCCAGCAGCCGCGGUAAUACGGAGGGUGCGAGCGUUAAUCGGAAUUACUGGGCGUAAAGGGCACGCAGGCGGUUAAUUAAGUUGGAUGUGAAAUCCCCGGGCUUAACCUGGGAAUGGCAUUCAAGACUGGUUAGCUAGAGUCUUGUAGAGGGGGUAGAAUUCCAUGUGUAGCGGUGAAUGCGUAGAGAUGUGGAGGAAUACCGGUGGCGAAGGCGGCCCCGUGGACAAAGACUGACGCUCAUGUGCGAAAGCGUGGGGAGCAAACGAGGGAUUAGAUACC
RNAcentral lists this ribosomal RNA (454 nucleotides) under uncultured bacterium. RNAcentral's name for it is "bacterial SSU rRNA". It matches the Rfam family "Bacterial small subunit ribosomal RNA", at positions 340 to 786 of the family's 1533-position model. The record is from RNAcentral.